UUUUUUUGUUUUUUAUUUCAUUACAUACUUUGACUAAUGUUUAAAAUGAAGCCGCAAGGUAGUUUCACUCGAAAGUUCCAUUACCUCGCCAUCAAGUGCACAGUGUUAGAAGUGGAGGUCAGGCUCUACAAGUAGACGCCCUAUAAUUCACUAAUGAUCCUUCCGCAGGUUCACCUACGGAAA
Molecule: unclassified non-coding RNA, 183 nt
Filed under: uncultured fungus
Lineage: Eukaryota; Fungi
Description: sequence contains ITS1
Source: RNAcentral